This 253-nucleotide ribosomal RNA is filed under the name uncultured bacterium. RNAcentral's name for it is "partial 16S ribosomal RNA". It matches the Rfam family "Bacterial small subunit ribosomal RNA", at positions 524 to 776 of the family's 1533-position model. The record is from RNAcentral.
UACGUAGGCAGCAAGCGUUGUUCGGAGUUACUGGGCGUAAAGGGUGUGUAGGCGGUUGCUUAAGUUUGGUGUGAAAUCUCCCGGCUCAACUGGGAGGGUGCGCCGAAUACUGAGUGACUCGAGUCCGGAAGAGGAGAGUGGAAUUCCUGGUGUAGCGGUGAAAUGCGCAGAUAUCAGGAAGAACACCCGUGGCUAAGGCGGCUCUCUAGUACGGUACUGACGCUGAGACGCGAAAGCGUGGGGAGCGAACAGG